GGGUGAUUUGGUUGCACGAUAGGUCACAACCCACNGGUUCAAAGGGCUGAUCUGGGUGGCUAGGAGAGCGUUCCCAUCCUCAGGGCUCCAUGCCUGUCCCUCUAGAAGUAGGAUUGGGUGGGAAAGAUCCUUCUGCUGGGAUCAAGGAAGACUGUUCUUAGGUCAAGGGUCGAGGAGUAGCUGUGCUCCCCUCUUAGGACCCNAAACACGCUGUCAAGGUCCUUUUGCGACAGAACAUAGGCUCGUCAACCUUUCAAGACAUACAAAGCCUGCUUUU
RNAcentral lists this small nuclear RNA (277 nucleotides) under Neotoma lepida (desert woodrat). RNAcentral describes it as "7SK RNA". It matches the Rfam family "7SK RNA". Rfam says of the family: 7SK was discovered as an abundant small nuclear RNA in the mid-70s but a possible function has only recently been suggested. Lineage: Eukaryota; Metazoa; Chordata; Mammalia; Rodentia; Cricetidae. The record is from Rfam by way of RNAcentral.